GGUGCAGCAGCUGGUGUUGUGAAUCAGGCCGUGACCAGUCAACAAGCGGCUACUUCACAACACCAGGGUUGCACCA
This is a non-coding RNA of Pelobates cultripes (western spadefoot toad), 76 nucleotides long. The record is from the annotation of a GenBank genome assembly. Lineage: Eukaryota; Metazoa; Chordata; Amphibia; Anura; Pelobatidae.